Molecule: non-coding RNA, 826 nt
Organism: Tupaia belangeri chinensis (Chinese tree shrew)
Lineage: Eukaryota; Metazoa; Chordata; Mammalia; Scandentia; Tupaiidae
Source: the annotation of a RefSeq genome assembly
GUGACUGGUGCUUGGUGGGGUGUAGCCCAUUGGCUGUUAGAACAAGUUUGUUGGACUGAAGACUGACACCUUCAGAGCAGGGCACAAGGAACUCUGGCAACUGGACAAGCUGUCAUGGGGAGAAGACUGGGAGCUCUGCUGGGGCUUCUGUGGGCCCAGGUUGGCUGGGUGAGAGGGUUCCAGGUGGAGCAGAGUCCUCCAGCCCUGAGUCUCCAAGAGGGAACCGACUCUACUCUGCGGUGUAAUUUUUCUGCCACUGUGGACAACGUGCAGUGGUUCCGACAGAAUCCUGGGGGCAGCCUCAUCAAUCUGUUUUUUGUGGCUUCAGGGAAGAAACAGAACGGAAGGUUAGAGGCAAUGGUUAAUUCUAAGGACCGCUAUAGCACCCUUCACAUCACGGCCUCCCAGCUGGAAGACUUAGGCACCUACCUGUGUGCAGCAGAGGCACAGUGCUCCCAGGUCACCUGCAGGCUGAGCUCAAACUGCAGCUGGGCUUCUGCCAGCAUUCGCAUAGCGUUAGGUUUCCUACUCAUGUUGGCAGUACUUUAUCCUUCCAUAAUUACAAAUAUAUAGUGCUGACAUGGAGCUAUCAGAGAUUCUGGGCAGUAUUCUCCUAGGGUCAAAUCCGUGUUUAAGUGGGCAAUGAAAGUGUUCAACACAGCCAAAGUUAGACCCUCACUAAAUAAGUUAUAAUGGAGAGAAACUUACAAACAUCCAUAAUUCUUGGGACAACUUAUCCCUUAAUAGCAACACACGGCUUAGUUUCUAAGGAAGGUAAAAAAAAGUGUUAUCAAACUUUGCCAUGCUUGUAUUCAUAAUCUUUAGU